Molecule: long non-coding RNA, 4231 nt
Organism: Magnolia sinica
Lineage: Eukaryota; Viridiplantae; Streptophyta; Magnoliopsida; Magnoliales; Magnoliaceae
Exons: 11
Source: RefSeq, a predicted model, not a curated record
UAGGCAAGCACUCUCGGUCUCUCUCUCUCUCAUGCACGGUCAUUCUCUCUCUUUAGAUCGAGCAUCUUCAAUGUUGAAACCAUAAUUAGGGAUUUACAAUGUUGAAGCCUUAAUUAGGGAUUUACAAUGUGAAACCAUAAUACCAAGUAGCCCACCGAUAAUUGGAAUGGCCAUGCAUUCGGAUCAUGCCAAGUUUAGUUUUAUUCUUGGUAAUGGAUGCUCUAGAUGAUCAUCUCAUUUUUGGGCUCGAGAUGCUCCGAAUGCACGUGGUUCAUGGGAAAACGAGGAUUCCAUCUAAAUGCACCUCCCUCUAACUUAAAACAAUCUGCUCUCCUUAAAAAUCUCCUGUCCAAGGUUGUAUUGUAUAAAUUUCAGGUGAGGUAAUGUAUACUACUCAAAGGUAAGUCUUCUUUCAUUGCCCAUAUGAAAUUAUGUAAUUGCCCUUUUUACAUUAUGAAAUUACCAUCAAUAAGUUGAUUUAGCCUUCACAUAUUAAGGGCAUUAAAGUAUUUUUCUUCUUGUACAGGUGUAAUUACAAAUAUUCCCUUUGAAUACAAUAUUUAUGAAAUUUAUGUUGUUGAAAUUUAUACGCUUUCUAUUUUUCCUGCAAGUGUUUGCAUUUUCUUAUUAGAAUUGACUCUUACUGAAUCAAUGCCUGAGUGGUUAAUGGGGACGGACUACAAAUUCAUUGGCAAUAUGUCUACGCUGCCUCGAAUUCAGCUAAGUGCCAUUGUCGUAAAGAGAAAACUUUGAUACUCUGGAAGAAUGUGAUGUUUCAUACACAUGCACACAGAAAUUGUGAUGUGGCAAAGAGGUAACCAGAACUGAACUGUGCAAAUCAGGGCCCACUUUACAUGGGUCGUGAACAAAAAUUUGAUGGAACUGAUAUGUUACCUGGCCAGUUGGUUACUUCUAAAUAGAAUGUUGAAAUCCAAAUAGUCAACUUUCCAAAUUUGGCAAACAAAUGUGUAUCAAUACAAGGAUGUAGUCUCUCCUUUUAAGUUCGUAUUCAGCUUUGUCAUGGCGCUGUAUUUUUAUAGUUUUUUCAGUUUUUUGUGUUGUAUAGUGGUUCUAUACAAUGAUAGGUGUGGCCUGUUCCUUUUUGAGGAGCCCACCCGAAUGAUUAUACAACAUGUUUUUUUUUUUUUUUUUGAAUAAAAAGAAAAAAAAAGAGGUGAGACUCAUCUGAAAAUCAGGGUGGGAGAUGUUCUUCCAGUGGUCCGGUAUCAUCUAAAGGUUAGGCUGCAAGUUUCAGUUGUGUUUCUACAAAGUGUUAGGCAACUAGUCGUUGCCACUUUCAGAACCUGUCUUUCAGCAAACUGGCAUGCCCAUAACCAUGAUGUGAAUGUUCUUUUGUUCAGACCAUCGUUCUGUUUUGUUCCCUUGUGUAGCAGUAUAGAUGGUUGCAGAUAGGGGUGGGCUGCUGUGGACUGAUGUGCUGCUCUGAUCUUUUUCUGUCCUGUGAAUGGGCUGAUGUUCAUAGGGAUGGCUAAUCUGAUCAUCUACGACGCCACCGCCUCUCCCUCUCACCUGCCUAGACAUCACCGCCUCUCUCUCUCUCUGAAAGAGUGUUAAGGCCAAGGUUUCACGUUCGCAAAAUGGCGUGGAUGCUCCCACAGGUGCCAAUCAGCACUGUAUAAUAGAACAUGGACUUCCAUCAGGCUGCAGGAAAGAUUAGGGUGCGAGCCCUCUGCUGAACAACUUGCCUCUUCCUUGCGGAUGUAUCGCGCUGAAUUACACUCCAAAAUGAUUGAAUGUUCAUUGGCAAGAGAGAUACUAGCAAUGAAUAAUGUCCGUCUAGCUAGUCAUGUCCCUCGCUCAAAAAUAUGACAACAUGGGGGCUGAAAUGGCUGACCUUGUUCAGGGGGUUUGAUUGGAUUAAUGCAUGGGAUAGAGAAAUUUGAUUCUUCAAAAGGAUACAAAAUAUCAACUUAUGUAUAUUGGUGGAUUCGUCAGAUAUUUCAUGGAAGAUGAAGAUUACAGAUUGUUGUGCUGUUCAUUCACAAGUUGAAGUUUGAUCCAAGGCUAUAGGGUGAAUCAGAUAACAAUACCGGUGGAUAUGGAAAUGUGGUAUAGAAAGAUCCAUACAGAGAUUAAAUCUGCCAGCCAAACACAAGCACAUGCUCUAAGGCAUGACUAUCCAUUGCCAAACACCUGGGCUGUAAACACCUAAUAAAAAUUUUCGUCUUUUGCCAAACCCUAAGAAUCUUUGUUUAGUCAUUAAUUUAUUUAUUUUUGUAUGUUCACAUGUCCUUAUUCUGUCGCGAUUUGAUUUGUUUUUACAACUAAUUGAUGACAUUACCUUCUCAAUUAGGCAUAAAUCUAUGUUUGUGUGUUGGCCAAGGGCAUUGAGUACAGAGUAGAACUCUCUCCCGAACGAAUCUUCCCAACCAUUUGACUGUGAUUGAGAUGAAUUUGUGUUAGCUAUCACUCCUCAUAUCUCUUUCCCUUUGUUCCAUUUAACAUGAUUCUCUGAUUCAUAUGUAGUUUUUCUCAUAGAUGACAUUGCUGAUAACUGGAAGAGCAUGGUCUUGAGAGCUGAUGUGAAUCCUACGCGAUUGAGGAAUUCAUGAUUUCUUUGCGAUUGAUGGCAAGCGAUGAGUGCAUAGUCCACUUCAGCUUAUGGGCUGUUUCAAAGGCUCCCCUUCUAAUUGGAUGUGAUGUGCGAAACACAAGUAAUGAAACAAUGGCAAUGAUUGGCAACAAGGAGAUCAUUGACAUUAACCAAGGGGGUCUCCUAUUCCAAGCAGUUUGACAGAGAAAAUUGAUGAGUACAUUCCACACAAUGUUGCAGUGUUGCUCGAUACAUUCAAGGAUAAAGAUGGUCUGUACAAGGUUUCUAAGUCUCCUACCUGGAUACACUCAGAUAUUAUGGAUGAUCAUGUACACAUGGAGCCAUGUAUGCCCACUCAUUGCUUGGAUGAGAAUGGCUUAGAUGCUAGCUUGACAACUCAUGCUACAGUGAAUGGCUGUAAUGGUGAUGAAAAACAAAGGAAGUGGAAUCCUAGCCAUAUUCUUGAAUCGUUUUGGCAUGCACAUCCUAAAAUGAUGUUUAUCCUUGAACUCAUGCAUCGAGUGUUGAGGUGCUGCAUUUUUUUUUCUUAUGAACGGUGGCAAGCUCGCAAUCCAUCCAUUGUGCAUGCAUUUCCAUUUUGAGACACCUCCUCUUACAAGCUGGUGCUUUCGUUCCUCCAGCCUUUAUGUGUGCACAUUCUUAUUGCUUAUUUUCUAGUUGCAUGAUCUAUGACAUUGUUUCUAAGCCAGGAACAACCACAUGCCAUUUCCUCUUUUCCUUAUAUUUAUGUCACUUCUUCCGACAUAGGGAAAAGAGGUAAAAAUAACAAAUUGAGAAGUCAUUUCUAGUUCUGCCUUUUCAGAGACCUAUGGCUAGAACUUCUCGAUUGGCAGCUGUGGCCAGGCAAGAAGGCAGGUGUCCAUUCUAUUGUGUCCAUGUUAUCAAUAAUAAUAAACACACGGGGCUGUCUGUCCUGCUGGAAAUUAAUUUCCAUUGGAUGGGUUAGGUGUUUUGUGCUUGUGACCUCUUGCUGUUCGGAUGGCGACCCGUUUUAAAGUCCAAAAGCUGAUAACCCACAACCCAUGAAAUAAAAUAAUCCGUUUGCCUUCAUGGAAAGGACUGAGGUGUGAGAAAAAUGAAGCUCAGAUCCAGCAUCAUCAUCGUUGUGCUCGUUCCUCUCCCUGUGGCCCCACCCAAAUUCAUCAGCAUUUCAUGGUUUGAAACUCUUAUUAUUAUUAUCUAUUUAAUCUUCUCCUUUUGUUGUGUUUUGUUGAACCAAAAAUAGUUAAAUUCCAUGAUAUCUGUUGCAACCAAAUGCACCCUUUAUUGCCUUUUAUAUUUGUGCCUACCAAAGCUAAAAUGCUUCAAAUUGAAUAGAAUCCCCUUACAAAGGGCAUGAUGCUACCACUGCCUAAGAGGGGACAUUAAUUCCAUCUAGCCAGCAGGAUCCACACAAACAGAGAGCAGGCAGUAUCUCAAAUAUACAGCUGCUAGCACAGCAUGGUGGAGUCAAAUGAUCCACCAACUGAAGUACAGAAGCCUAGGAAGAACCAGCUCCUACUGCCAACAUCACCCAGCCAACUAGUACAGAAGAUAGUCUCUGUUGCUGAGUUCUAUUAUCAGUAUUAUUUCCACCUUUUAAGUUCUGAACAUGAAGAACAUCUUUGUUGUUAUUUGCUGCAAAUUUAUUUAUUAUAUAUUUGUGGAUCUUUUUUU